GUUCUCUUUAACAAAACAAAAAAAUGCCCCACCUUUCUCCAUUAGGUUUUCGACCAAGUCUUUAGGGGACCAAAAACCAGACCACCGUGCACCGUCACGGCGCCCCCCAAGAACGGCGACGAGCGUCACGCGGGACAGAGCUUUCGGUCCCUCUCCUCUACGAGAAAAAGAUAAGAAGGAAAAGGGGUCCCUUCACUCUUUAUGCCCGACUUCAGCAAUGGAGAGGAGGGACUCCGACGACGAAAAUACGGUGCUCAGUGAGUCAGAGAUGCGGAGAGGACGUGAUGGUGGGCUGGUACGAGCAGAGGGUAGGUAUGACAGCAGCGUACGACGCACAUGGGAGCGGGAUAGAGAAGCGGCGCUGGAAAGGCAAGGAACCCUAGGGUUCCCUGAUGUUUUUUUAAUUUUUGGGCCCAAUUGGGCCAAUUUAUUUUUUGGGCCUCCUGUUUUUGGGUUAAUGGGCCCCGGGCAAAUUUGGGCUUGCUCAUAUAUAAUACAUCAAAAAUACUAAAAACAUUAAAAUAAA
Molecule: long non-coding RNA, 526 nt
Organism: Gossypium raimondii (Peruvian cotton)
Lineage: Eukaryota; Viridiplantae; Streptophyta; Magnoliopsida; Malvales; Malvaceae
Exons: 2
Source: RefSeq, a predicted model, not a curated record